CGAGAUCCGAAUCGCUGUGCGGCGUGCCUAAUACCAUGCAUCUCGGACGGUAUUAGAGGUGAGAGGCAUUGCCUCUCGCUUCUUAGACAGUGGCGGACUGGUGAGUAACACGUACCCAACCUGCCCGUAAUACCGGGAUAACCUGGCGGAAUACCGAGGCUAAGCCCGGAUAGGCUAGUUCUCCCUGCAUGGGAGAGGCAGGGAAAGGGUGCGACCAGAUUUCGGAGGGGCCUGCCCCGCAUUAGCUAGUUGGUGAGGGUAACGGCUCCACCAAGGCGAUGAUGCGUAGCCGACCUGAGAGGGUGACCGGCCACACACUGACUGAGAGACGGCCCAGACUCCUACGGGAGGCAGCAGUAGGCUAAUCUUCGGCCAAUGAUCGAAUAGCCUGACCGAGCAACUAUGCGUGAGUGAGGAAGGCCUUCGGAGUUGUAAAUACAGUGUUGUUUCGGGAAGCAACGGAAAGGCGUAGGCCAAUUAGGUGACAGUACCAAGACGAGAAAGCCUCCGGCUAACUACGUGCCAGCAGCCGGCGGUAAUACGUAGGCGGUGCGAGCGUUGUCCGGAAUGAUUGGGCGUAUCGCCGCGCGCCAGGCGGUCCUGUUAAGUCUGAUGUGAAAGCCCCGCGGCUUAACUGCGGAGGGGCAUUGGAAACUGGGGGACUUGAGGCUAGGAGAAGGGAAGUGGAAUUCCCUGGUGUAGCGGUGAAAUGCGUAGAGAUCAGGAGGAAUACCCGAUGGCGAAGGCAGCUUUCCUGGCCUAGGUGCUGACGCUCAUGGCGCGAAAGCGUGGGGAGCAAAUCAGGAUUAGAUACCCUGGUAGUCCACGCCGUACAACGAUGAGUGCUAGGUGUGAGGGGUUUCAACACCCUUCGUGCCGCAGUUUCACACAAUAAGCACUCCGCCUGGCGGAGUACGGUCGCAAGACUAGAAACUCAAAGGAAUUGACGGGGGUCCCGCACAAGCGGUGGAGCAUGUCGGUUUAAUUCGAAGCAACGCGAAGAAGCCUUACCAGGGCUUCGACAUCCCUCUGACGUCGGUAGAGAUACCUCGUCCCUUCGGCACAAGAGGAGACACGGUGGUGCAAUGGUUGUCACCAGCUUCGUGUCGUGAGAUGUUCGGGUUAAGUCCCUGCAACGAGCGCAACCCUUAGAGCUUAGUUGCCAGCAUUGAGUCGGCACUCUAGGCUGACUGCCGCAGACGAUGCGGAGGAAGGCUGGGGAUGUUGUCAAAUCAUCAUGGCCCCUUAUGUCCUGGGACUACACACGUGCUACAAUGGCCGGUACAGAGGGAGGCGAAGGAGGCUUCCGGAGCGAAACCCUAAACAAGCCGGUCGUAGUUCGGAUUGCAGGCUGCAACUCGCCUGCAUGAAGCCGCUCUCGCUAGUAAUCGCGGACUCAGCAUGCCGCGGUGAAACGGUUCCCUGGGCCUGUGCACACACCUGC
Molecule: ribosomal RNA, 1444 nt
Filed under: uncultured Geobacillus sp.
Lineage: Bacteria; Bacillati; Bacillota; Bacilli; Caryophanales; Anoxybacillaceae
Description: bacterial SSU rRNA
Rfam family: Bacterial small subunit ribosomal RNA
Source: RNAcentral